This 598-nucleotide unclassified non-coding RNA is filed under the name Hevea brasiliensis (rubber tree). Lineage: Eukaryota; Viridiplantae; Streptophyta; Magnoliopsida; Malpighiales; Euphorbiaceae. The record is from RNAcentral.
GAUUGUUUAUCUCGGAUCCCUUGUUGACAUCUUGAAAGCAAGAUUGGGACGACACUGGCAUCAUCGAAGAAGAAGAGUGAGUCGAAGAGCUUGUUACAGCUGUUGAGAUAGACUUAGGACAAUGGAAGAAGUUUCGCGAUCCUAGUGCGGAGAGCUUCUCCUUUGAAUCCAAACAUUCCAUGCUGAACUGCGAGUAAUGGAGCCCGAACGCCUCAGGCUCCGUCGAAGCCAGCCGCGGCCGCCUCCCCUCCUUCACGUAAACUCUCACCACCGCCGCGAUCACCUCCUCCACCGUCCACUCCGCCGACGCCAUCACCUGCACCGGACUGAGGCUCCCCUGCACCGUCACGUUCAACCGUACCUUCGCCGGUGCCCUCGGCUCCAACAAGCCCGUGCCGCUCUUACGAGCGCCUGUGCCGGCGAGGAGGUCUGGUUGGGUCUUGGGGCGGCCCAGCUGACGGUGGUCGGAGGGCAGGGCUGCGGUUCUACCGUGGAAGGAGUGGGACCGCUCCGGCCGGGAACGAGUUGCGGCGCCACCCUUCUCAUCUUGGAGUUUCUUGGGGUGGGUGAAGGUGGUGGUGGACGUCAUGGCGGCGGC